UACGUAGGGGGCAAGCGUUGUCCGGAUUUAUUGGGCGUAAAGAGCGUGUAGGCGGCCAUACAGGUCAGCUGUGAAAACUCGAGGCUCAACCUCGAGACGUCGGUUGAAACCGUAUGGCUAGAGUCCGGAAGAGGAGAGUGGAAUUCCCGGUGUAGCGGUGAAAUGCGCAGAUAUCGGGAAGAACACCCGUGGCGAAGGCGGCUCUCUGGGACGGUACUGACGCUGAGACGCGAAAAGCGUGGGGAGCGAACAGG
RNAcentral lists this ribosomal RNA (254 nucleotides) under uncultured bacterium. RNAcentral describes it as "partial 16S ribosomal RNA". It matches the Rfam family "Bacterial small subunit ribosomal RNA", at positions 524 to 776 of the family's 1533-position model. The record is from RNAcentral.